Molecule: long non-coding RNA, 326 nt
Organism: Hermetia illucens (black soldier fly)
Lineage: Eukaryota; Metazoa; Arthropoda; Insecta; Diptera; Stratiomyidae
Exons: 3
Source: RefSeq, a predicted model, not a curated record
AUUGAUCCCGAACGGGCAGAAUAUUUUGAAAAUAUCACGAUACGUUUCUCGUUAUCUGACCACUCUGUGGUGAAAGCUAAAAACUUGUUAGCACUGAUGAAGGGAACAAGUGGUUCCCGAAAUAUCGAUAAUUAAUCGUUGGAAACACCUCAUAAUUACACUCAGAAUUUAUGAUUUCCGAUUCAGACUUACAUUUCCUUUACAGGUUAUAUUUCAUAAGCCAAGUGAUAACGAAAUGAUAGUUUUUGCAGCAAAGCAACCACAGGGUGUGGAGGUUUACGCAGCAGAGACGGUAAGAGCGGUAAAGGCCUGAAUGGAAAAGGUCU